Molecule: ribosomal RNA, 253 nt
Filed under: uncultured bacterium
Lineage: Bacteria
Description: partial 16S ribosomal RNA
Rfam family: Bacterial small subunit ribosomal RNA
Source: RNAcentral
UACGGGGGGGGCAAGCGUUGUUCGGAAUUACUGGGCGUAAAGGGCGCGUAGGCGGCUUUUCAAGUCGGGCGUGAAAUCUCCAGGCUUAACCUGGAAGGGUCGUUCGAUACUGUUAAGCUAGAGUGUGGAAGAGGCUACUGGAAUUCCGUGUGUAGCGGCGAAAUGCGUAGAUAUACGGAGGAACACCUGCGGCGAAGGCGGGUAGCUGGGCCAACACUGACGCUGAUGCGCGAAAGCUAGGGGAGCAAACGGG